Long non-coding RNA from Cercocebus atys (sooty mangabey), 962 nucleotides. RefSeq lists it as uncharacterized. The record is from RefSeq and is a predicted model, not a curated record. The transcript is spliced from 2 exons. NCBI's taxonomy places the organism in Eukaryota, Metazoa, Chordata, Mammalia, Primates, Cercopithecidae.
GCGACGGUGGCGGGGCCGACCCCACUGGGCGCGCCGAACAGCGACGAGAAGGACUAGCUAGCACCCGGCGCGGAUCUCACGCCGCUUCUCCCCAGAGCCAGGUUCCACCUCCCGCGCAGACGCACAGGAGACGCUUCCCGGAGGGCAGUGCACGCCGCGGAGCACCCUGGGACUCGUAGGCGGCCUUCGACCUGGCGCGGCGAGGGCCGGCGUGUGCAUCUUAGCUUUAGGACUCCUUCCGCUUGGAAGAUUUAGGUUUUCGCGUCCUGUAAGGUCAGAAGAACAGCUGAGUAACUACCUCCCUCACAGGCAUGCUGGUAAAGCCGAUGGAGGGAAAUGUGGUCAUGCAGGGGUGGUGACUGGCAGAUGGCAAUCACAAGGUUCCUCAAUCUCUGAGCCUCAGUUUCUUCCAGUGUGAAACAGGGAUGAUAGGAUCAUUAAGGGAUCUGCACUAUACUGUGUAAAACUGUUCAUUUAACCAGCACUGCAGGAAUAACUGGGAAUAAGGGCAGAACUGGAACCCGUAUCUAUCCCCUGUUCAGAGCCCAGUGACCUUCAUUUUUUCCAGAGGCCUUAACCAGACAAACAACACAGGUGCUGGAACUAUUCUGAUACUCAGAUGGUUGUCAUCAAGAAAGAAGAGAUGUCAUCUGAUGAUUCUCACUUGUAACACACGUGCACACAGACACACACACCCCCAACCUCUAUCUCAGAUUUUAUUUUUUUUAAAAAAGGCUUCAAUACAAGGCCCCAGAAUAGUGCAUGCAAAUCAACGACCCUCAAAGUGACAGUCAUUGUCAGAUAACAAGCACAAUCUGCUACAGUCUGUGACCUGGUAAAGAGACCACCUUUUCAUUUUGAGUCCCAUCACCAACUAUGACAAUGUCCAACCUACUGCACAGCUCACAAUUACUCAGAGAUACAGUUUAGUAUCUGAACAGCAAAGACAUAUUGAGCUGCAA